RNAcentral lists this ribosomal RNA (699 nucleotides) under uncultured bacterium. Its description in RNAcentral is "bacterial SSU rRNA". It matches the Rfam family "Bacterial small subunit ribosomal RNA", at positions 8 to 681 of the family's 1533-position model. The record is from RNAcentral.
AGAGUUUGAUCCUGGCUCAGAACGAACGCUGGCGGCGUGCUUUAGACAUGCAAGUCGUGCGAGAAAGUCACCUUCGGGUGGCGAGUAAAGCGGCGCACGGGUGAGUAACGCGUGGGUAAUCUACCCUAGGGUCUGGAAUAACAUCGGGAAACUGGUGCUAAUGCCGGAUAAGACCACGAUGACUUUGGUCGAUGCGGAAAAAGGUGGCCUCUUCUUGAAAGCUACCGCCCUUGGAUGAGCCCGCGUUCCAUUAGCUUGUUGGUGGGGUAACAGCCUACCAAGGCGACGAUGGAUAGCUGGUCUGAGAGGAUGAUCAGCCACACUGGAACUGAGACACGGUCCAGACUCCUACGGGAGGCAGCAGUCGGGAAUUUUGGGCAAUGGGCGAAAGCCUGACCCAGCAACGCCGCGUGAGGGAUGAAGGCCUUCGGGUCGUAAACCUCUGUCGGAAGGGAAGAAAGGUCGGAAGGCGAAUAGGCUUCAGGCUUGACGGUACCUUCAAAGGAAGCACCGGCUAACUCCGUGCCAGCAGCCGCGGUAAUACGGAGGGUGCAAGCGUUGUUCGGAAUUACUGGGCGUAAAGCGAGUGUAGGCGGCUUCGUUAGUCGGAUGUGAAAUCCCAGGGCCCAACCCUGGAACUGCAUCCGAUACUGCGAAGCUAGAGUCCUGGAGAGGAUGGCGGAAUUCCGGGUGUAGAGG